Molecule: ribosomal RNA, 720 nt
Filed under: uncultured bacterium
Lineage: Bacteria
Description: bacterial SSU rRNA
Rfam family: Bacterial small subunit ribosomal RNA
Source: RNAcentral
AGAGUUUGAUCAUGGCUCAGAUUGAACGCUGGCGGCAUGCCUUACACAUGCAAGUCGAACGGUAACGCGGGGGGCAACCCUGGCGACGAGUGGCGAACGGGUGAGUAGCGCAUCGGAACGUGCCCAGUAGUGGGGGAUAGCUCGGCGAAAGCCGGAUUAAUACCGCAUACGACCUACGGGUGAAAGCGGGGGACCGCAAGGCCUCGCGCUAUUGGAGCGGCCGAUGCCCGAUUAGCUAGUUGGUGAGGUAAAGGCUCACCAAGGCAACGAUCGGUAGCUGGUCUGAGAGGACGACCAGCCACACUGGGACUGAGACACGGCCCAGACUCCUACGGGAGGCAGCAGUGGGGAAUUUUGGACAAUGGGGGAAACCCUGAUCCAGCCAUGCCGCGUGCGGGAAGAAGGCCUUCGGGUUGUAAACCGCUUUUGGCAGGAACGAAACGGCGCGCGCCAAUACCGCGCGUUAAUGACGGUACCUGCAGAAUAAGCACCGGCUAACUACGUGCCAGCAGCCGCGGUAAUACGUAGGGUGCAAGCGUUAAUCGGAUUUACUGGGCGUAAAGCGUACGCAGGCGGCUGUGCAAGACAGGUGUGAAAUCCCCGGGCUUAACCUGGGAACUGCAUUUGUGACUGCAUAGCUAGAGUCCGUAAGAGGGGGGUGGAAUUCCACGUGUAGCAGUGAAAUGCGUAGAGAUGUGGAGGAACACCGAUGGCGAAGGC